Molecule: ribosomal RNA, 212 nt
Filed under: uncultured bacterium
Lineage: Bacteria
Description: partial 16S ribosomal RNA
Rfam family: Bacterial small subunit ribosomal RNA
Source: RNAcentral
UACGUAGGGUGCAAGCGUUAAUCGGAAUUACUGGGCGUAAAGCGUGCGCAGGCGGUUUUGUAAGUCUGUCGUGAAAUCCCCGGGCUCAACCUGGGAAUUCGCGAUGGAGACUGCAAGGCUAGAAUCUGGCAGAGGGGGGUAGAAUUCCACGUGUGAGCAGUGAAAUGCGUAGAGAUGUGGAGGAACACCGAUGGCGAAGGCAGCCCCCUGGG